This 391-nucleotide transfer-messenger RNA is filed under the name Acidimicrobiales. RNAcentral's name for it is "VGBO01 sp016870475 Standard tmRNA". It matches the Rfam family "transfer-messenger RNA". From Rfam's summary of the family: Bacterial tmRNA, also known as 10Sa RNA or SsrA, is named for its dual tRNA and mRNA-like properties. Lineage: Bacteria; Bacillati; Actinomycetota; Acidimicrobiia. RNAcentral also lists the same sequence under 1 other name. The record is from RNAcentral.
GGGGCUGAUCGGUUUCGACGUUGGAACCGGGAGUCGAACGUGCGACCCGAGUUGCUCAGACUCGUGAAACGGGGCACCCAAUGAGACGCCAAUACGGACGAUCUCACUCUCGCUGCCUGAUCCGUCAGGUGACGUGAGGAACACAGCGACCGGCGACGGCACGCGGGGCCAGCUCAUCGCAGCCCGGCAACAGAAGCGGUGGGGGACGGUGCGGAGAGACCACUGACGGUGCGGAAAGACCACUGACCUCAGAGAAAGUUCUGGCGGGACAGGAGCUCCGGCUCCACUCGACCCGGCGAGCCGGCGACCGUGAGCCGGGAACUCGGGAAUGGUCGUAGCGCGAACGGUGACCUUUCAGCGGACGGGGGUUCGAUUCCCCCCAGCUCCACUU